RNAcentral lists this ribosomal RNA (379 nucleotides) under uncultured bacterium. RNAcentral describes it as "bacterial SSU rRNA". It matches the Rfam family "Bacterial small subunit ribosomal RNA", at positions 521 to 896 of the family's 1533-position model. The record is from RNAcentral.
UCAUACGUAGGACCCAAGCGUUAUCCGGAGUGACUGGGCGUAAAGAGUUGCGUAGGUGGUUAGUAAAGUGAAUAGUGAAACCUGGUGGCUCAACCAUACAGACUAUUAUUCAAACUCACUAACUCGAGAAUGGUAGAGGUAACUGGAAUUUCUAGUGUAGGAGUGAAAUCCGUAGAUAUUAGAAGGAACACCAAUGGCGUAGGCAGGUUACUGGACCAUUUCUGACACUGAGGCACGAAAGCGUGGGGAGCGAACCGGAUUAGAUACCCGGGUAGUCCACGCCGUAAACGAUGGAUACUAGCUGUUGGAGGUAUCGACCCCUUCAGUAGCGAAGCUAACGCGUUAAGUAUCCCGCCUGUGGAGUACGGUCGCAAGACUA